GGAGGCAUAGCUCAGUGGUAGGGCACAAGCCCAGCAUGCAUGAGGUCUUGGGUUCAAUUCCCAGUACCUCCA
Molecule: transfer RNA, 72 nt
Filed under: Camelus bactrianus (Bactrian camel)
Lineage: Eukaryota; Metazoa; Chordata; Mammalia; Artiodactyla; Camelidae
Also listed under: 2 other names
Rfam family: tRNA
About the family: Transfer RNA (tRNA) molecules are approximately 80 nucleotides in length. Their secondary structure includes four short double-helical elements and three loops (D, anti-codon, and T loops). Further hydrogen bonds mediate the characteristic L-shaped molecular structure. tRNAs have two regions of fundamental functional importance: the anti-codon, which is responsible for specific mRNA codon recognition, and the 3' end, to which the tRNAs corresponding amino acid is attached (by aminoacyl-tRNA synthetases). tRNAs cope with the degeneracy of the genetic code in two manners: having more than one tRNA (with a specific anti-codon) for a particular amino acid; and 'wobble' base-pairing, i.e. permitting non-standard base-pairing at the 3rd anti-codon position.
Source: Rfam by way of RNAcentral